UGGUGGUGGUGGUGGUGGUGGUGGUGGUGGUGGAGGGGGACUCAUUGUGGUGUAGGGUGUAAGCUGUCGAAGGCUUUUCAAGGAUUCUACCUCUCGAUUACAUCAGCGGCUGCCUUCAACAGGUCACAGACGUCGCUGACGGGUGCCAUGGGGUGGAACGACUCUCACAGACCCUCAGCUAGCGGCAUGACUAACACCAAGGAUAUCCCAGCCAGUCAGCCACAGGGAUGCUCCAUGGAGACAAGGGGAGGCAAGACAGACGGGGUCAUCUCUGCCAAAUCUCGGCCUGACUGCAACCAGACAACUGCGCAUCCGACAACGAACACAAACGGUGGAUCCAGUCCAUCAGCAUUCAGCAGACAAGAGCCCGCGACCUCUGACUCCUGUUCCUGUGGUGACGUCACACCCACACCUUUACCUGAGUUACCCCGUGGCUUGUGACUUAUGAUGUUUGCACCUGAGGGAUGAUGCAGUAUGACGCUUUUAUAAACUCGUAAAGUUCCCUUUGUCGGGUGGACAAGGAAUACACCCGCAGAAGGUAAAUCAUUUCAUGAUCACGUGGUCUGGAUCGUCUGUUCGCCUCUUGAUGAUUUAUGUCCGGGUAUCUGGCCAUCCCUGACACUGGCGGCUAGAUGGCACUCACGUAGGGAUUGCUUGUGUGUGUGUGUGUUUGUGUCUGUGUGUCUGUGAGUGUGUGUUUGCAAGUGUACGUACGUGCGUGCAGCUUUGCGUGUGUUUGUCUGUGUGUGUGUGUGUGCGUGUUCACACGUGUACGUACGUGCAGCUCUACGUGUGUCCGGGUGGAAGGCUAAGAGGUAUGGGGAGGGGGACAUCGGGGCAGAAGAGUUAUCAGACCUGCAAAUAGCAACGGUCGUAUCGCGCUGCCCAGAUGAUAGCGGCGUCCACCCGCCCUGCCAACCUUCCUGGCUUCCUUUUGAAGUUCUGGCAUGGACUGGAGGGCGGGUAGGUGGAGGAACACAUGCUAAUCCCUUACUUCCCGUGCUACCGACCUCGUAAACAUACUACCUACCUCCGAAUAUACUAUGAACACAUUACUUACUAUACUACACAUACGACUGAACACACUGCUAACUGCUGAACACA
This is an RNA transcript of Pomacea canaliculata, 1104 nucleotides long. RefSeq lists it as uncharacterized. The transcript has 3 exons. The record is from RefSeq and is a predicted model, not a curated record. NCBI's taxonomy places the organism in Eukaryota, Metazoa, Mollusca, Gastropoda, Architaenioglossa, Ampullariidae.